GCGGAGGUGGCGGAAUUGGUAGACGCGCUAGCUUCAGGUGCUAGUGUCCGAAAGGACGUAAGGGUUCAAGUCCCUCUCUCCGCACCA
This 87-nucleotide transfer RNA is filed under the name Salinivibrio kushneri. RNAcentral describes it as "tRNA-Leu". It matches the Rfam family "tRNA". From Rfam's summary of the family: Transfer RNA (tRNA) molecules are approximately 80 nucleotides in length. Their secondary structure includes four short double-helical elements and three loops (D, anti-codon, and T loops). The record is from RNAcentral. Lineage: Bacteria; Pseudomonadati; Pseudomonadota; Gammaproteobacteria; Vibrionales; Vibrionaceae.